RNAcentral lists this long non-coding RNA (214 nucleotides) under Panax ginseng (ginseng). RNAcentral describes it as "long non-coding RNA (PGIN_LNC007640)". Lineage: Eukaryota; Viridiplantae; Streptophyta; Magnoliopsida; Apiales; Araliaceae. The record is from RNAcentral.
CCCCUUUACUAGUAAGGGAAAAACUCUAUCGAGUAAGCCCAGCUACAAGUACCGAAUCAAGCUUUUCUUCAAUAGGAUUAGCAUAGGAAUCAUUAAUAGUUGAAUUCUCUCCCGGAACUACCCAAUCUGUUUUAAACUCACAUUUACCACGUCGCAUUGACAAGUUCAAAAGUAGCCCAACCUAUACAAGGGCGUAACGAGCAGUCUACUCAUG